CUCCUUCAUUUGGGAGGGGAGCUGGGAGGGUGGAAGCAGUGGUGGAGGUGUGUGCUGGGUGAAGAGCACCUGGUCCGAAGCAGCUGGACAGCAGACGAGGGAAAGGACGACGGGCUCGCCCUGCUCCUUGGUUCAGGAGGUCUGGUCAAGAACAGUGGGGCUCCUGCCCCGGGGCGAGUGGCCCCUGCUUCUGGAGAACCAGAACCUUUGAAAUGUCUAUCAGAACCUCGUGAGAAGACAGCGAUCGACUUGGAGCAGAAAUUUGAAGAACUAAAGCUGUGGUUGUUCCUGAGAGUUGAUGCCAAGACAACAGAUCCUGUAGGGGCCAAAGAAGUAAUAGAACAGUGCCCUCAGCAGAUGUCCAGCUUCCUGUGAUGUGCCUGACAAUUGGUUUUAAAUACAGCUGUAAUGAGCAAACGCGGCAUGUUACGGGUGG
Molecule: long non-coding RNA, 436 nt
Filed under: Struthio camelus australis
Lineage: Eukaryota; Metazoa; Chordata; Aves; Struthioniformes; Struthionidae
Description: lncRNA (ENSSCUG00000013298.1)
Source: RNAcentral